AGAGUUUGAUCCUGGCUCAGGACGAACGCUGGCGGCGUGCUUAAAACAUGCAAGUCGAACGGUGACGAGACCUUCGGGUCUCCGAUCAGUGGCAAACGGGUGAGUAACACGUGAACAAUCUGCCGGUCUGUGGGGGAUACCUCCUCGAAAGGGGAGUUAAUACCGCAUAGUGCGCAUGCCCUGCCUGGGGUGUGCGGGAA
RNAcentral lists this ribosomal RNA (200 nucleotides) under uncultured bacterium. Its description in RNAcentral is "partial 16S ribosomal RNA". It matches the Rfam family "Bacterial small subunit ribosomal RNA", at positions 8 to 205 of the family's 1533-position model. The record is from RNAcentral.